UACGAAGGGGGCUAGCGUUGCUCGGAAUGACUGGGCGUAAAGGGCGCGUAGGCGGAUGGCACAGUCAGAUGUGAAAUUCCCGGGCUUAACCUGGGGGCUGCAUUUGAUACGUGUUGUCUUGAGUUCGGAAGAGGGUCGUGGAAUUCCCAGUGUAGAGGUGAAAUGCGCAGAUAUCGGGAGGAACACCGGUGGCGAAGGCGGUUCUCUGGGCCUUACCUGACGCUGAGGAGCGAAAGCGUGGGGAGCGAACAGG
RNAcentral lists this ribosomal RNA (253 nucleotides) under uncultured bacterium. RNAcentral's name for it is "partial 16S ribosomal RNA". It matches the Rfam family "Bacterial small subunit ribosomal RNA", at positions 524 to 776 of the family's 1533-position model. The record is from RNAcentral.